This 1162-nucleotide ribosomal RNA is filed under the name Gardnerella vaginalis 284V. RNAcentral's name for it is "bacterial LSU rRNA". It matches the Rfam family "Bacterial large subunit ribosomal RNA", at positions 1762 to 2925 of the family's 2925-position model. Lineage: Bacteria; Bacillati; Actinomycetota; Actinomycetes; Bifidobacteriales; Bifidobacteriaceae. The record is from RNAcentral.
CGGAGCUGUUGGGGGUGGCACAAGCUAGGGGGUAGCGACUGUUUACCAAAAACACAGGAGCGUGCGAAGGCGUAAGCCGCUGUAUACGCUCUGACGCCUGCCCGGUGCCGGAAGGUUAAGAGGAUCCGUUAGCUUCGGUGAAGCGGUGAAUUUAAGCCCCGGUAAACGGCGGUGGUAACUAUAACCAUCCUAAGGUAGCGAAAUUCCUUGUCGGGUAAGUUCCGACCUGCACGAAUGGCGUAACGACUUCCCCACUGUCUCGGCCAGGAGCCCGGCGAAAUUGCAGUACGAGUAAAGAUGCUCGUUAAGCGCAGAAGGACGAAAAGACCCCGGGACCUUUACUAUACCUUGGUAUUGUCGUUAGGUGUGGAUCGUGUAGCAUAGGCGGGAGGCUGUGAAGCGUGGGCGCUAGCUUGCGUGGAGUCGAUCAGUGAAAUACCGCUCUUUCCAUAUCUGGCGUCUAACCUCGACACGUUAUCCGUGUUAGGGACAGUGCCUGGCGGGUAGUUUAACUGGGGCGGUUGCCUCCUAAAGAGUAACGGAGGCGCUCAAUGGUCCGCUCAGCCCGGUUGGCAAUCGGGUGUUGAGUGUAAUCGCACAAGCGGGCUUGACUGUGAGACUGACGGGUCGAGCAGGGACGAAAGUCGGAGAUAGUGAUCCGGUGCCGGCGUACGGACGUGGCAUCGCUCAACGGAUAAAAGGUACCCCGGGGAUAACAGGCUGAUCAUUCCCAAGAGUCCAUAUCGACGGGAUGGUUUGGCACCUCGAUGUCGGCUCGUCGCAUCCUGGGGCUGGAGCAGGUCCCAAGGGUUCGGCUGUUCGCCGAUUAAAGCGGCACGCGAGCUGGGUUCAGAACGUCGUGAGACAGUUUGGUCUCUAUCCUCUGCGCUCGUUGGAAUGUUGAGGAGACCUGCCCAUAGUACGAGAGGACCUGGGUGGACGAACCUCUGGUAUGCCGGUCGUCACGCCAGUGGCGCUGCCGGUUAGCUACGUUUGGAAGGGAUAACCGCUGAAAGCAUCUAAGCGGGAAGCCUGCUCCAAGAUUAGCAUUCCUUGCACUUUGUGUGUGAGCCCCCAUGUAGAACACGUGGUUGAUAGGCUGGAUGUGGAAGCCCUGUAAGGGGUGGAGCUGACCAGUACUAAUGGGCGAUUGUGAUACUAC